CCGACCUGGCUCACACCGGUUUAAACUCAGAUCAUGUAAAAUUUCAAAGGUCGAACAGACCUAACUUACUAGCUUCUACACCAAUAAUUAAUUUUAAUCCAACAUCGAGGUCGCAAUCUAUUUAUUCGAUAAGAACUCUGUAAAAAAUUACGCUGUUAUCCCUAAGGUAAUUUACUCUUAUAAUCUAAAUAUUAGGAUCAUAAACAUACAAAUAAAUAAUUUUAUACAAGAAAAGUUAAAUAAAUUUUCCUAUCACCCCAACAAAAUAAAUAUAUUAAAACUUAAUGUAUUUACUUCCUAAAAAUCAAGCUUCAAUAUAUUUAUCAAACUCUAUAGGGUCUUCUCGUCUUCCAUGUAAAUUUAAGCUUUUUUACUUAAAAAUAAAAUUAUAAUAAAUUUUUCUAGAGACAGUCAUUUUCUCAUCAAACCUUUCAUACAAGCUUUCAAUUAAAAAACUAAUGACUAUGCUACCUUUGCACGGUCAAUAUACCGCGGCCAUUCAAUAACUCUCAGCGGGCAGGUCAGACUUGAAAUUAUUAUCAACAAGCCAUGUUUU
RNAcentral lists this ribosomal RNA (556 nucleotides) under Trigonopterus vulcanicus. RNAcentral describes it as "partial 16S ribosomal RNA". The record is from RNAcentral. Lineage: Eukaryota; Metazoa; Arthropoda; Insecta; Coleoptera; Curculionidae.